UCCGAUCCAUCUCUCUCCUCAUCCCUUUCUGGCUUUCUGCUUUGCUUAUUAAGUAUUACCGUAUUGCUUAGAGGUGUUGGAUCGUCUGCAGCAAUGGAAGACAGCGGUGGCGACGGAACUGCGAUGCGUGGUAGUAAAACAUAUUGUGUGACGGGAGGUUCAGGCUUCAUAGGAUCGUGGCUGAUUAAAUCUCUCCUCCGCCGGGGAUACGACGUGCAUGCCACCGUUCGCAAUCCCGAGAAGGCAUUGCAUUUGUUGAAAUUAUCGGAGCGGUUGAAACUGUUUAAAGCUGAUUUACAGGAAGAGGGGAGCUUCGACGAGGCAGUAAGAAGCUGUGAUGGAGUAUUCCAUGUAGCUGCCUCAAUGGAAUUUGGUGUAGAACCAAAUCACAAUAUUGAUAGUUAUGUGCAAGAGAAUGUGAUAGACCCCGCAGCGAAAGGGACGUUAAACGUUCUUAAAUCUAGCCUGAAAGCGAACUCGGUGAAAAGAGUUAUCUUCACAUCAUCAAUCAGUACAAUGACUGCCAAAGAUAGUUCAGGGAAAUGGAGACCUGUAGUGGAUGAAUCUUGCAACAUACCAACAGAACAUGUCUGGCAUACUAAGCCAAGUGGCUGGGUAUAUGCACUCUCAAAGGUAUUCACCGAAAAGGCUGCAAUCAGGUUUGCGAAUGAAAAUGGUAUUGAUUUGGUGUCAAUAAUUACGCCAACAGUGGCUGGUCCCUUCCUUACUCCCACAGUUCCAUCAAGCAUUCGAAUGCUCUUAUCCCUAAUAACAGGGGAUGUGAAGCUGUUACCAAUACUAGCUGCCGUGAACUCAAGAAUGGGAUCAAUUGCAUUAGUUCACAUAGAAGACAUAUGCUCUGCCCACAUAUUCCUCAUGGAGAACGCUAGAGCAGAAGGACGAUAUAUAUGUUGCACUCAUAAUUGUUCAAUAUCUGAACUGAUUGCUCAACUAAGCCAAGAAUAUACGGUUCCCACUACACACAGCCUCAUGAUGGAAAAGCAUGAUUCACAACCUCCAGUGAUUUCAUCAAAGAAAUUAAGGGAUCUGGGGUAUUCUUUCAAGUAUAGUGUCCAAGACAUAAUACGCGACACUCUUCAGAGCUGCAAGCAGCAAGGGUUUUUAUCGCACAGCCAAUAGUUAUGGUUUCCUCUGUAGAAGUUGACCGCUGUUCAAAAUACUUGAUCGACUGUCCUAACCUAAGAAUGAAAUCAAAUUACUUGAGAAGCAUUCAUGUAAGCCAAGUCAAAAGUCAAAAAGCAUUGGAUUG
Ipomoea triloba (trilobed morning glory) is the source of this 1270-nucleotide RNA transcript. It is a transcript of the gene named putative anthocyanidin reductase, with no coding region annotated. NCBI's taxonomy places the organism in Eukaryota, Viridiplantae, Streptophyta, Magnoliopsida, Solanales, Convolvulaceae. The record is from RefSeq and is a predicted model, not a curated record. The transcript has 8 exons.